Molecule: long non-coding RNA, 2907 nt
Organism: Ahaetulla prasina
Lineage: Eukaryota; Metazoa; Chordata; Lepidosauria; Squamata; Colubridae
Exons: 2
Source: RefSeq, a predicted model, not a curated record
CUAAGGUACAACACUUAAUGAUAGUCAUAGGGUACAAAUAAGCAAUCAGGAAACAAUAUCAAUAUAAAUCAUUAGGAUACAAGCAACAAAGUUACAGUAAUACAGUCAUAAGUGGAAGGAGAUGGGAAUAAUGAGAAGAUUAACAGUAGUGCAGAUUUAGUCAAUAGUUUGACAGUGUUGAAGGAAUUAUUUGUUUAGCAGAGUGAUGGCGUUUGGGGAAAAAACUGUUCUUGUGUCUAGUUGUUCUGGUAUGCAGUGCUCUAUAGCAUCGUUUUGAGGGUAGGAGUUGAAACAGUUUAUGUCCAGGAUCUGAUGCAAGUGAAGAUUGCUUUGAUGCUGUUAUCCCAACUAUAGACCCUCUGCAGUGUACAUUUUUUAUUCUAAACCUCAUAAUGACCCAAUUGAAUUAUAGUUUACUAAGAAAAUAACAAUCACAAUAAACCUUCCAUUUGAAAAACCCCUUCACAUUUGCUGCAAUUUUAAGAUUUGGGAGGAGACAAAAUAUGAUUUUUCUUCUGUUCCCACCUCCAGCCAAAACAAUCCAUAUUUAGUGAUACCCAGAACUUUGUAUUAAUUGUUCCAGCCAAGGAAAGCUCAGGGAAUGUUAUCUAUACAACCAUACUUUGCUAUUUUUGGGUGUGUGGUUGUUUAUGUGUAAGACUUUGAAGUGCACCACUUGGUUUGGAGGGGGGGGAGGAGAAGAGGAAGAAGAUCUGUUUCCAUUUUAGUAUCAGAUCUAAAACCAACUAGUCUGCAAAACAAAAUGGUAGCUUUGGAAAUGUUACUUCUUCAUUUGUUCUCCAGCCUGAUGUUUGUUUGGGUGACGUAGGUUGAAUGGGAGCCAAGUAGGAAUGAAUACAUAGAGCAAUGAACCCUUUGCAUAAUAACUUGGGAAUAAGUGCAUUUGCAAUUAAUGGGGCUUGCUUCCAAGUUAGUAUGCACGGGAUAAUACAUAAUUGAGACCCACAAGCAAAUAACAGCCUGUGAACAGUAGAGUGUUCUUUGACUUGUCUUGGCUUGUUUGAAAAAUUUGUUCUGAAGAGGACUUUUUAAAGGGUGUUUACUGUUUUUGGCUUGUGAUAUAUAAAUCGGCUGGUCUUGUGAUCUGGUAGACAGUAGAUUGGUAUUAGAUAAUGCUGUUUUGUUUGUAAUUUAACUUUUUGCCUUUGAUUUCUAUACUGUUUGGUCAUAAGGCCUGAUCAUCCUUUUCAUAGAAUUUCUUCUUUUACCAAAGAGAAUGCAGAUAUUGUUGUAAUUCUGUAACUCUGGAAAUGGUCUGAGUAUAGACUUAGUGAUGGUGAUUGCGAUUUAUAUGCUUUUGUGGUAAGAGUGCUUGCUAAUAUUGUCCAUAUGAUUUCUGUGUGGUUGUGUAUAUAAAUGAAAUCAGAUAUCAUAUUAAGUUUAAAUUCAUGUAAUCUCAAAGCACAGGAUAAAAGUAUUUUAUAACUUUAGUUUGAUCUGGUGGUUAAGGCACCAGAUUAGAAACUAGGAGAGGUUGAGUUCUAGUCCUGCCUUAGGUAUGAAAGCUGGCUGGUGACUUUGGGCCAGACACUCUCUUUCAGCACAACUCACCUCAAAGCAUUGUUGUGGGGAACAAAGAAGGCUGAAGGAGUAUUAGGCACAGAGGUGGCAUUCAGCCGGUUCGCAGAGGUUCAGGCGAACUGGUAGCGGCUAUCAUGGGUGCCGCCCACCCGCCCCAGCUCCAAGUCGUGGGCAAAGCAAGCAUGUGCAUGCACGGUGAACCGAUGCUAAAGGUAUGAAACAGUGAUGCUUUUAAACUGUUUCCAUCAAUAUAGAUUUAAAAAAGAGAAGAUGCUUGGUUCAGUUCUAAAGAAUGAAUUCCUGGGUGACUGACAAGAAAAUGAAGAAAAAAAAUUACAUGUUACAAUAUAAACUUUCUGUCCAUUUAUCUAUAACUGACUUACUAAGCACAUUUUAAAAAUCUCAAAUCAUUUUGAGAAAGAGCAAAACUCCAAAGUGGGCAAACAUGCAGCCUCAAACUUGUCAUAUAGAUCAGCGUGGAUCACAUCAAUAAACUGGGAGCAGAAAAAAUACAGAUUGAGGCCAGCAGACUUAGAGAAUUUUUAUGUGGAUGGCAGAAAGCCUUAAGGAUACAAUAAUACUUCUGGUUCCUUGAAAAUAUAGUAGUUCCCUGCCUUGGUAAUGCAAAUGAAUCUGCUUUCAAUCAACCAAGAAAAGCACAUCUAGUGAUUGCCGAAUAUGCAAUGAUGGACUGAAGAAGGCUUUGUGAAUAUGGAGCUGUCAACCGCAGCAGAAUGAAGAGUUGGCAAAUGGACCAGCUCCUCAGAAUUUCUCUCCAGAGCAAGGAGAGGACCAGGACUGCCCACAAGUGUUUCACACAAUAGCUCUCUAUGAAGAGACUGUAAGACAACAGUAUCUAGCCGGUUUAAUUGAUCUGGAAGCCUUAGGAAAAAAACUAACAAGAGGACACUUUGAAGAUUGGACACAAGAGGGACACCAGAUAAGAUAUGGAAAGAAGAGCUCUUUUGCUGCAUUUUAACAGAAAGUGUUAAGUUUCUGUGUUAAAAGUAAAGGAAUAUAAAACUGGUUUAUUGAUUAAGGCUAAUCAAUAUUAUUAAAAUAUGUUGUUAUUUUUGGUAACUCUUAAUUGACUUUUGCGGAUUAUAAUUAAAUGAUGAGGCUUUAUAGUUUGAUUAUAGAUAAGAGAUGAGAUAGGAGAAGAUACAAUUGGAUGAAAUAUCAGGAAUGAAGUUACAAGCACUGACACUGUAGUUGUCCUGAUGGAGGAGAAAGUCAUUUCUUCAUAUAUCUUUUUAAUUACUUUUUUCUUUUUCUCUGCACUUUUUAUAUUUGUCUUAGUUUGUACUAGUUUUUUAAUUGUUUUAUAUGUAAUCAUGAAUAAAAAUUGUUAUAAAAAAAGGAAAA